UGAACUUAAUAGAGACGUUUGACCAAAACAGAAAUGCGUAUCUUACCCGUGGGCAUAGGCAAACAGGAUCUGACGUGCAAAUGCUGGCAUUGAAAUAGUCUCUGCAGUUAUCCAGCUAGCUAGCAGAUCCAUUAUAUAUUAUACAUGCAUAUUCAGGACCAAAAUAAGAAGGUAGGGAAUCGAACCAAAAAGUUGGUUCCCUUCCUUUUUAGCAGCUGGUAGUCUCUGUCAGGAACAAGCAAACGAGCCCAAAAGAACUAAUCGUUCUCUUUCCCUUCAUUGCUUGUUCUUCCUUUUGUUCCAUGGUAGAUGAAGCUCGAUAGGCACGCACCUCCAGCUAUUUUCUGAUUACGCAUAUAUGCGUACAGUUUUCAUCGGAGGUGAAAGUUUAGCUCUCAUCCUGUUUUAUCCCGUGGGAACUCAUAGCGUUUUCAUCGGAGAGAGGUGCGAUUGGGCAAAAUUAUGUGAUUCUUUAAGCUUAGGCCUUUAAUUUCUUCUCUAAUUCCUCAGUUGGGUGUUAAUUCCUAAUGGGCAAAUUAUUUGUUCCGCUUUUGUCCUUCUAUAUUGAACUCACCUUAUUUUUAUUCCAUGUGUAUCCUUUAUCGAUUUGAAUUACACUUCUUUUUUAUUCUAAAAUUUUAUGCUUAUAAAUUUCUUAGUAAUAAAAUUUAAACCAUUAUGAAGAUCACAACGAGAUCUUUUAUUUGAGUCUAAUAUUAAAUAUAUUUAGACUAAAUUAUCUUAAUACAUAAUAAUGAAUUAUACUCCUUUUUUCAAUUAUGCCUUAUGGCUUUUGGCUUACCGUGGGAAACUUUUGCUAUGCUGUUCAAAGGUUCCAUGAAAAAGAAUUCAUAUAGCAAGCCAAUUAUAGCUUACCGUGGCCGAUGCUUAACAACCACACACACACACAAAAAAAAAAAAAAAAAAACUGAACUCUUGUAAUUAACAAUACUAUCAUGAGGCAUGCGUAUGCAAAAAUAAUACUUAGAAUAUCUAGCAUUUGCGCACCACUUUAACUAAAAAAAUGAAAUUAUCUUAAUAUAUCAAGGCCUUUCCACUAAAGGACUUUUUUUUUUUGGCCAAUUUGAGGGACAACAAGAACAGCUGUCGGGGAUCUCUUUUAAUGAUCUUGGACGACUGAGAUUAAAUCAAAGUGGUCACAGCUUUUCUAUCAUGCCUAUCUACGCACAUGAUUCCUACUAAGUCCACUUUUAGCCUCCACUCUCCACGAUGACUCCUAUCCAAAACGUUUCAAUUUUUCUAUCCAAAACUAUAAUCAGCUAUGAAACCAUCAUCACCAGAACCAAUUCAAGCUCGUCAGAUUUUCUCAACGUUCGUUGUUUCCACCACUAAUCCUCUCCACCCCAAACUCAUCUCUCCUCCUCUUUUCUCCAACCUCAAAGAACAAACCCAAAACUUUGUUUUCAUUUCCUUCACUUUCCAACCGCAAAAAAUUGCAACUGGAGGCUUCUUCAGUUUGACGGGAUAUUAUUAGAGGUUUUUUUGGAGAAAUUCGUGUAUUAUAUGUUUGUGUUAGGAAAACAAUUGAAACUCAGAUCUGAUCUGAACAUGCUGCAGUGGUUAAAAUUUUCCUCAAUUGAUUUCUGAUAAAUUUGAGAAAACUAUACCUCCGAACUUCAUCUUUUUGACUUCUUCCUUGAUGGAUUUGAAGAUUAUAUCUGCAAGUUUCAUUUUUUUAUAUCAAAAACCAAACCGAAAUUGUAACCGAUGUCGAUGUCGAUUAACUGAUAUAUCAGUGUUGAAAUCUGGCCGGUUUCGAUGCCGGAAAUCUGAAAAAAUCGACUGGUCGGUUCGUUGGUGGUUUAGUCUCUUUUAGUAAAAUUGGGAAUUCUGGGUUUAUAGGUGUUAAAGAGGGUUGAAUUCUUUGAUUUAAUCUCAGCCGUCCAAAAUCAUUAAAAGAGAUCCAACGGCUGUCCUUAUUGUCCCUCAAAUUGGCAAAAAAAAAAAGAAUCCCUUACUCCCUUAGUGAAACAACCUCUCUCUCUCUCUCUCUCUCUACACACACACACUCAUAAAGAAUAGAACUCAUAAAGAAUAGAAAUUAUAACAUAAAAAACUACACAAACUACUUUGUACAAGAUAGAAAUAGAGUAACCUAACAAUUCUUAAUCAUAACACCCCCACACAUACAAAAAAAAAAAACUCUCUUCUAAUUAACAAUACUAUCAUGAAGCAUGCAUAUGCAAAAAUAAUACUUAGAAUAUCUAGUUUUUUCGCACCACUUUAACUAAAAAAUGAAAUUCUCUUUACCUCGUAAAAAUAAUAGAAACUAUAAAAUAAUAAUAAAAAAAAACUAUACAAACUUCUUUGUACAAGAUAGAAUUAGAGUGACCUAACAAAAAGCGCCCCCCCCCCC
Rosa chinensis is the source of this 2377-nucleotide long non-coding RNA. RefSeq lists it as uncharacterized. The transcript is spliced from 2 exons. NCBI's taxonomy places the organism in Eukaryota, Viridiplantae, Streptophyta, Magnoliopsida, Rosales, Rosaceae. The record is from RefSeq and is a predicted model, not a curated record.